GGCUGGCUAGCUCAGUUGGUAGAGCAUGAGUCUUAAUCUCAGGGUUGUGGGUUCAAGCCCCAUGUUGGGCA
This 71-nucleotide transfer RNA is filed under the name Chelonia mydas (Green sea turtle). It matches the Rfam family "tRNA". Rfam says of the family: Transfer RNA (tRNA) molecules are approximately 80 nucleotides in length. Their secondary structure includes four short double-helical elements and three loops (D, anti-codon, and T loops). Lineage: Eukaryota; Metazoa; Chordata; Testudines; Cheloniidae. The record is from Rfam by way of RNAcentral.